AUUGAACGCUGGCGGCAUGCCUUACACAUGCAAGUCGAACGGUAACAGGUCUUCGGAUGCUGACGAGUGGCGAACGGGUGAGUAAUACAUCGGAACGUACCUAGUAGUGGGGGAUAACUACUCGAAAGAGUGGCUAAUACCGCAUGAGAUCUACGGAUGAAAGCAGGGGAUCGCAAGACCUUGUGCUACUAGAGCGGCGGAUGGCAGAUUAGGUCGUUGGUGGGAUAAAAGCUUACCAAGCCGACGAUCUGUAGCUGGUCUGAGAGGACGAUCAGCCACACUGGGACUGAGAAACGGCCCAGACUCCUACGGGAGGCAGCAGUGGGGAAUUUUGGACAAUGGGCGCAAGCCUGAUCCAGCAAUGCCGCGUGCAGGAUGAAGGCCUUCGGGUUGUAAACUGCUUUUGUACGGAACGAAAAGCCCCGGGUUAAUACCCUGGGGUCAUGACGGUACCGUAAGAAUAAGCACCGGCUAACUACGUGCCAGCCGCCGCCGUAA
This 498-nucleotide ribosomal RNA is filed under the name uncultured bacterium. RNAcentral's name for it is "partial 16S ribosomal RNA". It matches the Rfam family "Bacterial small subunit ribosomal RNA", at positions 30 to 523 of the family's 1533-position model. The record is from RNAcentral.